Molecule: ribosomal RNA, 460 nt
Filed under: uncultured bacterium
Lineage: Bacteria
Description: partial 16S ribosomal RNA
Rfam family: Bacterial small subunit ribosomal RNA
Source: RNAcentral
CCUACGGGUGGCAGCAGUGAGGAAUAUUGGUCAAUGGACGAGAGUCUGAACCAGCCAAGUAGCGUGAAGGAUGAAUGCCCUAUGGGUUGUAAACUUCUUUUAUAUGGGAAUAAAACGUUCCACGUGUGGGAUUUUGUAUGUACCAUAUGAAUAAGGAUCGGCUAACUCCGUGCCAGCAGCCGCGGUAAUACGGAGGAUCCGAGCGUUAUCCGGAUUUAUUGGGUUUAAAGGGAGCGUAGGUGGAUUGUUAAGUCAGUUGUGAAAGUGUGCGGCUUAACCGUAAAAUUGCAGUUGAAACUGGCAGUCUUGAGUACAGGAGAGGUGGGCGGAAUUCGUGGUGUAGCGGUGAAAUGCUUAGAUAUCACGAAGAACUCCGAUUGCGAAGGCAGUUCACUGGACUGCAACUGACACUGAGGCUCGAAAGUGUGGGUAUCAAACAGGAUUAGAUACCCGUGUAGUC